GGUUGGAGAUAGGCUAACAUGUAGUUGUAACUAGUUAAUAAAGAGUUAUGUUAAGAAACAUCCUGUGGUUCUGCGUUUUAUUAUGUUGUACAAAGCGUACAAAACAAGACAUGGUGUCAGAAUAAAUGGUCUUAAAAGAUGGAUUUUUCUGGAGUUCCUUCACCUCGAAUGGACUGGGAGUCUACAAACUUACCCGAUGCAUGGCGUAAGUACAAACAGCAUGUGGAGCUAAUGUUCACGGGUCCUCUGAAGGAAAGAGGAGAAGAGGAAAAAUGUAGCUACCUGCUCCUCUGGAUCGGU
Molecule: non-coding RNA, 300 nt
Organism: Salmo salar (Atlantic salmon)
Lineage: Eukaryota; Metazoa; Chordata; Actinopteri; Salmoniformes; Salmonidae
Source: RefSeq, a predicted model, not a curated record